Hibiscus syriacus is the source of this 384-nucleotide long non-coding RNA. RefSeq lists it as uncharacterized. NCBI's taxonomy places the organism in Eukaryota, Viridiplantae, Streptophyta, Magnoliopsida, Malvales, Malvaceae. The record is from RefSeq and is a predicted model, not a curated record. The transcript has 2 exons.
AGCGUAUAUAUGUAGUACAUCUCUGAAGCACUAAAACAACAAAAAGUUACAACUUUUAGAUGUGGAUCAUACAGCAUCACUCCCCCUCGUGGAUGAGCAUUUGGUCAAAUUGACUUACCAUGUCCUUUUCCGACCCGCCUCAGUUGAGAAACAUAUUCCGAUAUCUUCUUAAUGGCUUCAACCUAUAAACUUCAUAAACUUAGAAACCGGGGUCGUUCGAAAGAUCUUUUUCGUUUCAGAUAUGAAUGAAAGCUAAGGGUUGAGCUGACCUGCUCGGUUAAAAACUCGCUUUCGACGAAAUCUGCCAUCUGAGCGUCAUUGUUUUGCUGGGCCACCUGUUAUUCAUCAAUGAAGUAAGACCAACAGAUUAGUUGUGGAUUCAAA